AGCCACCUACUACUAUUUCCUUCUGGUUCUAACGCAUGGCAACAAAGGAAAAUAAAAUAAAUAAAUAAAAAGGUGGCCUCACCCACUCAUACUCAACACUAUUUUCCUCACUGACAAAAAUCUCUCAUUCACCUCUCAUCUUCACCAUAAAAUCCACAAAAACUCCACCAACAACCCUCACCGUCAUCUUCCUCAUCAAUAAACCCUUCAUCUUCCGUCCGCCGCCAUCCAUUCCGUUAACCGCUUCCACGCCUUCGAUCAUCUUUCACCGGCGAUUCAACCUUCCGCUUCACCUCCAUCAAAACUCCGUUCACCACCUCAAUACAAUCUCAGAUCCAAAAACCAUCCACACGCUGACGAAACCCCAAACACCGCCGUUUCUUUUCCACUCCUUUCACAACCGUCGUCCUCUUUCAAACCACACACGACUUCUGUGACGUCGCCGCUCAACCGACCACCACCCUUUCAACCACAAAACCUUCGCCAAACUUCUCAACUCUCCUUCUUCUCCGAUCUAUUUCCACUUAUUCCUCCGUCCAAACACCAACUCCGUGAAACCCUUUUUCGCCUUCAACCGCGCAUCCUCCGCGCCUCUUAUUCCAACUCUGUUUCGGAUGGCUGCGAGUUGGCAAGGCGUUUUAGAUUGGACGGCUGUUUGGUUUUAAUUCUUUUGUUUAUGCAGGUAAUGGUUUGGAACGAAAGGCUAAAAAGCACCGGAUUCACUUCACCAACUAUGGAGUUUCAAGUUCAACAAGCACUUCGAGACAUUGACACCCUAUUUCCACCGCCUGCGAAAACAACACGCCAAAUCGCGUUUACAUUUCUGCAUUCGGUAAUCUUUUAAACUGAAAACAUUGAUUACAAUUGGUCCAUAUUCUAAUGCUGUUUUGGUUAUCGAAUCAUGUGUACAACUAAAUUUUUCUUUGGUAUAUGAUUGCAUUAUGCAUUGGAUUUCCUGCAUAAAUUGGUUCUGAUUCCAUAUGUUUCAUGACAGAGUGUAUGGAUAAGUAAUUGAUGUCGACACUGCGGUGAUUUUGUAAAUAAUUUCAAGCGGUCCUUGUUUCGACAUAUUAUUAUGUAACAUGCUUGCUGCCAAAUUUGAUAUAAGGCUUUGGUUACAUUAUGGUUAUACUAUGUAACGUUUUGGCAUGGCUGCUGUUAUAGUCCCUUAUCUUUCUCCCUAAAUAUCCAUAAGUCAUUUGUUUCAUAGAGAAGUGGUAGACUUCAAAAAGGCAGAAAAUAUUUGUUUACUGUUCUAUGCUUAGAAUGAUAGUGCAUCGUUUUUGGUUUUGAUAUUUGGUUGAGGAAAGAUUAAUAUAAAAGGUACACCUCAGUGAUUAUUCAUGUGUUUGUAUCACAUUUGUAAAUAAUCUUAAUUCAAUUCUUUUGCUGAUUUUAUUAUUAUUAUUAGGAAUAAUGUAUAAAGGAUCAUAGGUCGUUUCGUUGAUAUAAUAAAAAUGUCAUUUAUUUUUUAAUCGGAUUUUUUUAUCCAUGGAUCCGACAAUUUCAUGUCGUCAUGCCGCCCAAAGUCGCAAUAAAUUAACUGUACGAUUUCACCGCAUUUAGAUCUCACAUACGGCAUUCUAAUUUCAUGGUCGCUAUGUACAAACCGGUUUGAGCAUAAAUAUUCAAUUAAAUAAAUCAACAUUGCCACUUAUUUUCAUUUGUUUUCUUAAAAAAUUAAUUAAUUGGACUUUUGUUUGAUUAAUUCAUUUCAAUUAAUUAAUCUUAAUUAACUUAAUUAUUUGAGAUAAUUAAAUAAUUUUGAUAAUUAAUCUUAAUUAAUUCAAUUAAUCAACUCAACUAAAUUCUGAUGAGUUAAUAAUUAAAGGAUUUUCUUUUCCACCGUGUUUCCAUAAUAAAAUUCAAUUCACUUCAAAAUCAUUCAAACCAAUUUCAAAAACACAUCACACAAUUCUCGAUUUAACAUCGAGCCCAUUUUAAAACACCCUUGUAAGUUGAUCGCUCUUCGCAUCGCCAUCAACCUCACAUAGCUUACUCUUGGGCUUUCUUACAAUGAGACCUAUUUGAUUAUUGAUUAAUCGAGUAGAUGAUCGAUUCACCAUAAUUUAUUCAAUAANNNNNNNNNNNNNNNNNNNNNNNNNNNNNNNNNNNNNNNNNNNNNNNNNNNNNNNNNNNNNNNNNNNNNNNNNNNNNNNNNNNNNNNNNNNNNNNNNNNNNNNNNNNNNNNNNNNNNNNNNNNNNNNNNNNNNNNNNNNNNNNNNNNNNNNNNNNNNNNNNNNNNNNNNNNNNNNNNNNNNNNNNNNNNNNAACCGGGGUAGAAAUCGCGAUUAAAAAAUGCAAUAACAACAUUUUAUUCACACACGAAACGACCACACUUUACACACAAUUCACAAAAAUAAUAAAAUCAGCAGAAAGAAUCGAAUUAAGAUAUUACAAAUGUGAUACACCAUGAAUACUCACACUGAGGUUACCUUUUAUAUUAAUCUUUACACCAACCAACAUACACACAAAACGAACAAACACAUACUCACAGCAUAGAACAGUAAAAAAUUUGUCUGCCUUUUGAGUCUAUCACUUCCUAGAGCAACAACAUGACUUAUGGAUAAUUAGGGAGAAAGAUCACAGAUAUCACACAACACCAUACCAACACACGUACAUAGUAAAACCUACACAAUGUACCGAAGCCUUAUCAUCAAAGUUUGGCACCACGCAAGCAUUACAUAAUAAUAUGUCGAAACAAGACCGCUUGAAAUUAGUUACACAAUCACGCGCAGUGUCGACAUCAAUACUUAUGCCUCCGCCGAGAGUAGACAAGCCAGCGUUUAGCCUUUAGAACGCCGACCUACACAGUCGUUCAUCAAAACAAAACACACCAAAUAUCCGUAGUUGCCCGAACUACGAAUGCUCUGAUUUCCUUAUUUCACCAUAAGGAUACGUAGGCAGGAGAUUGCUGUAUCUUCGCGAGCACACUAAUAAAAAACCUCCCAUUUCCCCCUCUUGAGGUCUUCAUCCAUCUCUAUUAUCAAUUCCAAUCACUCAAAGCAAGCAAACAACAGUCAAUUAACAGUAAAAUCGCAAAAUCAGACUAAAAGGUUCCCAUUGAGUACAACGGACGUGAGGGGUGCUAAUACCUUCCUCUCGCGUAUUCGACUCCCGAACCCGAAUAUGGUUUCGACGACCAUUAUUCUAUUUUCUAAAAGGUUUUAUAGAUAUUUUCCUAUUCCUUCAUUGGGGUAAAUAAAGUUCGGUGGCGACUCUGUUCGAACCUAAUCUUUUCCGUGACCAUCGCGAGGGAUCGUAUUUUUCGAGAUGCGACAGAUGGCGACUCUGCUGGGGAUCCUGCUCCAAGCAAGAGAGAGUCAAGCCUAACUUAGUCAUUUUUCUAUGAAUGUUAGAAUACUGCCUUUUAUUUGCUUCUGUAUAUCUUGAUGUAUUAUUUAUGCUAUGUAAUUUAUUCUGCUAUUAUGUUGGGUGAUCUAUGGUGUUUGACACAUGUUGUGAGAUGAGCUCCGUACCCGAGCUUUGAGAAGAACUUAGAACCCGAAGUUGUGUAGUAUUGAACCGAGGGGUGUACACCUCAUUGGGACAAUACGAGAACUCCACCUAGAGUAGAUCUGUUCAGAAUUUCCAUCAUAAUAUGGCUAGCCCAUUAUUGCGAGGAAACGUUGAACAUGGUCAAUGAGUUUGGGAACCUCAACUUAAACUGAAGUCUGUCUUCAUGAUUGGCGAUAGUGUAGUAUUGAACCGAAGGGUCUACACCCUGUUCGAAUAAUACGAGGAUCCCACUUAGAGUAGACUGAUUCAGAAUUUCCAUUUCGAUAUGGCUAGCCCAUUAUUGCGAUGGAAGACUGAACUUGGUCCAUGACUCUAAGUUCUUAUCCUGAAAACGAACAACCUUAGGAGCCAUCCUUUGUGUGUGGGGUAGAGAACAUAGAACCUCCGUAUAGGGUGUACCAUAUGAUACUCGUGAUAUCCUGGAUCCUAAUUAUACCCGCAUUACAUUUUCUUUGCAUACAAAUAUAAAAUUGCAUGCAUUCGAAUUUCAUCGGCAUAGAUUGCAUAUCAUUUUCCAAUACAAAAAAACUCAUCCCGUCCUUUUGGCAAUUACCAGCAGGUUGAUGUCCUGACACUCGUACUGAACCUUUGAGAGCUACUAAAAGACAAGGGAGCACUGAGAACAUAAUCAAAUUGAGUUGAAAAUGGAUAUGAACAACAUGGAAGGAAAGGUAGACCAGAUGUUGGAAGCUAGGCUAGCCCAAUCGAAGAACAAUUUUCAACAUGGUGUCACAAAGGAUGUUGGUUCCUCAGCAGGAUUUACUGUAAUCACCAACCCAAUGUAUGACCCUCUGUCUGACUAUAAUCCUCCACAAGUGAAUAUUCCUACUCAAUCCCAGUUGAUGCCAUUGACCAACCCUGAUGUUGAAAGGCUUCACGCCCUUGAGGAGAGAGUCAGAAUAAUGGAUGUGAAUGACAAUCUUAGGCUUGAUAUGUGCUUAGUACCAGGCCUAAUAAUCCCCCCGAAAUUCAAAUUACCCAACUUCGAGAAGUACAAAGGGGAUAGUUGUCCAAGGCACCAUUUGGUGAUGUUCUUCCGAAAAAUGGCAUCACAUACUCACGAUGACAAGCUGAUGAUUCACUGUUUUCAAGACAGUUUGAUUGGAGCAUCAUUGAGCUGGUAUAUGAAAUUGAAAAGAAGCCAUAUUCAGUCAUGGGAAGACUUAGCCAAUGCUUUUUUGAAGCAGUACAACUACAACUUAGACAUGGCUCCAGACCGAAGGCAACUGCAAAGCUUAUCCCAAAAGGGCAACGAAUCUUUCAAAGGAUAUGCGCAACGAUGGAGAGAAUUGGCAGCCCAAGUGCAACCACCACUCUUGGAUAAGGAAUUGGUUGACUUGUUUAUGGAUACCUUGCAGAGUCCUUACUUUGAAAGGAUGGUAGGCAAUGCGUUAUCAGACUUCGCCCACUUAGUGACAAUUGGAGAACGCAUCGAGAGUGCCCUAAAAAGCGGAAGAAUCCAAGGCGCUUCGAGCAACCAAGCUAGCGAGACAGAAUCCCUCAGCAAUUCCCAAAAGGAAGAGGAGGAUGAAACUAAUGCAGUCAUAACAGAUGUCAGGCAACCAACAACGCUGAGAGCACCAUACCAGCAACCAUGGUCUGCUCCUUACGCAAAUCAACGAUCUCGUGGUCGAGGAUAUCAAAAUCAACCUUUGAACCAAUCUAGGCCUCGAAACAAUCUGGAAAGAAGGAAUGCUCCUCUCGAUUCAAUUCCUAUGUCAUACAGUCAACUUCUGCCAUAUCUGAUUCAAAACUCAUUGGUGGAUCCCAAGUCUCUCAGGCCAUUGCCAGAACCAUACCCGCCUGGAUAUGACCCCGAUGUGCAAUGUGGAUAUCAUGUUGGGUCAAUAGGGCACUCGACUGAAGACUGCAACGCUUUCAAAGCCAAGGUUCAACAGUUGAUUGACAAAAAGUACAUAUCCUUUCCAGACGGACACCUGUUGGUGCACAUCAACCUCUCGCCUGAAUAAGUUCGAAGACUUCAAGGGAGGAUCUCAUAAGGCCAGUGGUUCAGACAGGAAGACAUCCUUAACAUUGGCAAUCAUUGGACUGAUUUGUUUUCAUUUGCAUUUGUAAUUUCUUUGUUGAUUAAAUGCUACUUGCUUUUAAAUUUUGUUGUCUUUAAUAGUAAUAUUAAUGAAGUAAUGACGCAUGUUUUGAACAAAUUAUCUCGCAUUCGCUCAUUUUUCUCCUCUUAUAUAAAAAAAAUGAAAAAAUACAUCCAUGUUCCCCACCUCACCUCAUUUAUCAAACUGUUGUUUUUGCAAAUUGGAGGGAGGAUGACGAAAAUAAAAUACCCAUAAUUACUGACUGUAUGCUUUCAGAUAAGAUCCUGCUGAUGAUGUACAAGCAUUGUUUCAAAUCCCUAAACACUGGAGAUAUAAGGAGUUAAUCCCUAGUCAACCACUUUGAGCCUAGAAGUAGGUGUUUCUUUCGGAUGAACAAACCCGUAUGUUUAACCUAGGGAAGGGUAGUGUUCAGUUAAUCUGACUAUGCAUUCGAAUUACAAGAUGAAACAUCCCGUCUGAGGAUCAACCACAUGAUAUUCUUCGCACACAUCCUGAAGUGUAGAAGGAACCAUGCAAAAUCCAAAAGUUAUGGCGUUUGUUCUUCAAUGACCAUUGACUUGGCAGAUGAGGAUCAACCACAUGAUAUUCUUCGCACACAUCCUGAAGUGUAGAAGGAACCAUGCAAAAUCCAAAAGUUAUGGCGUUUGUUCUUCAAUGACCAUUGACUUGGCAGUCACAAUUCUAAAAGAUAAUAUAAAAAAAAGCCUGCUAAGUCGAACACCCAAAGAUACGACUUAGGCAAAAAUAGGGGCAAUCCUGAUGGACUAAAGCUUCAAAAAGCGGUCCAUGCAAAAGUUAGGGAUCAAAACAAAAAUCAAAGGAGGUCAUGAAAACCCUUAACUCAACAGAAUAAGACUCAGUGACCACCAUACCAAAAUCAGAGGGUCACCGACAUUAAAAACGAAAUAAGGUGGCUGUCAUUUCAAGAGACCUUGAAUCACCAUCUUUAUCCUUACACCUUCAAAAAGAUGAAUGUGCAUGUGGAAUUAACUGAGCGUAGGAUUGGAGUUUAUCAAGAAGAAGGGUGGGUACAAAAAUAAUUUUGAGCCUCAUAUCCUUUGUUUCGAUAACCAUGAACCAGACCACGUUACAACCCAUAAAAGACCUAAUUGAAGCUGGGUUUAUUCUGAAAGCAUACUACAUCAAUGUUGCGUAAACUGACUCCUAAAGUUUUGCUAACCAUCUACUUUGGUAUAAUCUUCUUGUUGUAUCUUUCAUAUUGUUAAACCAAAAUUGCGCUUGGACUCAUGGUCCAUUCGCCACACUAUCACAUCAUUCAAAUAAAUGAUUUUUCAAAACUUGCAUGAGUAUCGCAUUAAAAUUACCAUUUCUGAACAAACAAUUUUAACUGCAAGACAGUACUUGACGUCAGGGAAAUUCCAACAAUAAGGAACAAUCAGAGGAACUUGGACAUUAAACUUGCAUGAGUAUCGCAUUAAAAUUACCAUUUCUGAACAAACAAUUUUAACUGCAAGACAGUACUUGACGUCAGGGAAAUUCCAACAAUAAGGAACAAUCAGAGGAACUUGGACAUUCGUUGGUGCUGACCCGAAUCAAGACUACCUCAUAAUCCAUGAAUCAGGGGCAUGCCACCCAAAAACAGCAGUUGAUCGGAGGAAGAUUACUCCAGGAAUUAGUCAGCCUGAAACAGUCUCCAAACAUCUGUUAAUCAUGGGAAGGUCAUUUCAAGAAUCAGUUGAUCUAUAGAAAAUCAUCUCAAGACCCUAUUAACUAUGGGCAUAUCACCUAGAGGAUGUAUUGACCCAGGGAAAAUCUCUUCAAUGUUCAGUUAGGGUGAGUUAAGUCGCUUCAACGCUCAUACCGAGGCAAGCUACAUCAAGAGCACAGAAAAUUCAAUCACUCCAGGAGUCGGUUAACCAAGGAUAAUUCCUUUCAUGGAUCAAAAUUUUGGGGCAAGCCAUCUCCAAAUUAUGGUACAAUUGCUUUCAAAAUCCUUUCGAGGUAAGCAUUUUGCAUAGACCCAUCACAUUGGGGCAAGAUGAUCUAUACAGAAGCAGGUCCUCUCCAUGUUUUCAAGUUGUUCAAGCAAAAUCUUUUUCGCACGUCAUCAACUGCAGAGUUCAAGAUGAAUGUCGGGGAAUCAUGCUAUCACCCAUCCAAUAACCUUUCGAUAGAUAAGAAGCCUUAUUGCAAAAAAAACCCUUCUCUUCCAAUACCCGCGCAGGGGCAUUUUGGAAACCUUCCAAUCAUUACAUAAAUCAUCAUCAUGCAUUAGUCAUGUCGCUUUGCUCUAGCAUAAAGCCAUGCAUAUCAUAUCAUAGGGCAUUUUGGAAACCUUCCAAUCAUUACAUAAAUCAUCAUCAUGCAUUAGUCAUGUCGCUUUGCUCUAGCAUAAAGCCAUGCAUAUCAUAUCAUUUAUCAGGCAUAACCCCCCAUAACAUGAACCUAACAUCAAAAAGCCUUGAAAUACAAAAUCUGACACCAAAGCCCAACAUCGCUUGGAAAUUCAAAGUCCAAUUCUCGUUUGGCAAUUUAUUUCAAAGUCCAAUUCUCGUUUGGCAACCAUUUCAAAGUCCAAUUCUCGUUUGGCAAUUUAUUUCAAAGUCCAAUUCUCGUUUGGCAACCAUUUCAAAGUCCAAUUCUCGUUUGGCAAUUUAUUUCAAAGUCCAAUUCCCGUUUGGAAACCAUUUCAAAGUCCAAUUCUCGUUUGGAAAUUUAUUUCAAAGUCCAAUUCUCGUUUGGCAACCAUUUCAAAGUCCAAUUCUCGUUUGACAAUUUAUUUCAAAGCCCAGUUCCCGUCUGGCAAACCUUUUUCAAAAGUCCAGUUCCCAUCUGGCAAUUUAUUUCAAAGUCCAGUUCUCGUCUGGCAACUUAUUCCAAAGUCCAGUUCCCGUCUGGCGAACUAUAUCAAAAAUCAGUUCUUGUACGGAAAAUCAUUCACCAGAUACCAGUUCUCGUCUGGUAGUCUAUUUUUCGUAACCAGUUCUUGUUUGGUAGCCCACUUUAAAAGUCAGUUCCCGCCUGACAAACAAAAAUAAGGUCAGUCUCGUAUGACAUUUCAUUCUUUUCCACCAGUUCUCGUCUGGUAACAUAUCCUUCAAGUUCUAUCCUCAUCUGGCAGUUCAAUCUUCUUCACCAGUUCUCAUAUGGCAGUUCCCAUUUAAAGUCCAACCUCAUUGGCAAUCCAAAAUAAAACCCUACAAAAACAUCCAAUUACCCAAUUGCAUUCCCACAUGCAUCACAUGCAUCAUUUCAUGCAUAAUUUUUCUGCCAAACAGGAAGAUUCAUCAAACAUAAUCCUAUAAGUCAUCAGCAUACUUAUGCAUAACCUUAUACAAGAUAAAAAAUCACUCGCAUUCCUACACGCAUAUCCUAAAUAUCCUCAGCAAUUGCAUCCCUUCAUGCAUCUAAUGCAUCAUCCCAUGCAUGGCAUUUCCACCCAAAGUGGAACAUCAUACAAACAUAAAAUAUCAAGAUCCAGGGUCGUCCAUAUGUAUCCCAGACUUUCUUCACUUAAUUCAAUAAAGUUAUUACCCUGUAUGUGCUUGUGGAAUUAUUCCUCAGCCAAUCAUUCUUCAACUUUAAUGAUAUUCCCCAACAUCUUUGCUAUCAUUGCUCCCUAAGCAGAGGUUACCCUAAAAAGUCUCUUAUGAGCUUUUCCACUGCAGAGCAUUUAUAGUAAAUCUCCUCCAAAAGGAGUCUUGUCUAAAAUAUUUCCCCCAACAGAUAAACAUCUGAGAUACUGCUUCAUUUAUAUGGAGAAUCUCAGUUGUCUGUUUGAGAUGCUGCUUCAUCAAUAUGAAGAGUUUCAUUCAGUUUUUAGAGAUACUGCUCUAGUAUCCUCGAAGAGUCUUAGAUUUAAUUAAGGUAUCAUUCCCUUGUUCGGAAUAUCUUAAUUCUAUUAGAUAAGAUGCUGCUUCGCCUCGAUACAGAGAAUCUCAUUUUUGCUGUUUGAGAUGCUGCUUCAUCAACAUGAAGAGUCUCAUUCAUUUUUAGAGAUACUGCUCUAGGUAUCCUCAAAGAAUCUUAGAUACGGUUGAGGUAUCAUUCCCUUGUCGGAAUAUCUCAAUUAUAUCAUAUAAGGUACUGCUUCGUUGAUCCUCAGAGAAUCUCAUGUGUUCAAAUCAAGACAUUGUUCUGCUAAUUAUCAUAAAGUCUUAGAUACAGUUGAGGUAUCAUUCCAUUAUUGGAAUAUCUCGAUUACGACAUCCAAGAUACUGUUCUGACGAUUCCCAAAGAGUCUUGACUGUUUCAUUUUACCUUCUAAUAACUUUUCUUACUGUAUUUCUCACUGCAUUUUCUUUCUGCAUUUCUCCCUUGCAUUUCAAAGGACAAAAUUCGGGUCUUUUUGUAUUUAAUUAUCUUCCACCACGAAUGUACAAAGACUAUUGUCAUUCAUACUUUCUGGUUCAAGGUAAUUAAAUAGGGCCAUCUGUCAUACCCCAAUUUUGUCCAGGCAUAUAUAAAUUUUCAUAAAAUUAAAUUCAUUUUUAAUUUGCAUCAUAUGCAUAGCAUGACAUACAUUCCAUUAUAAAUAAUACCUAGAAUAUCAGUCAGGAUAAAUUUAUUGAAAAUACAAACAAAUCGGUUGAAUUAUUUCUCAAAAACAUGCACAACUCAGCGGGUAAAAUGUUUCAAAAUUAAAAUUGCAGACACCAGUAUUAUUAAUCUACGGUUCACGUAGUUUAACCUGGUGUGCUCGUGGUAUUUUUCAACGGUUGUUUCGGUUGCAUAUCGACCCGCCUGAGCCUUUUAACCGGUGCAAAUUUAUUUCAGAAUUUGAAGAAACUCUGUAUUUUUUCAAUAAGUAUAUUUUGUGCCGAUCAUUUUAGUGUGUCCGAUUUAAUUUUCUGAGCGAAUUUUCGCUCGAUUUUUAUUCCUAACGAACCACUUUGUCUUACUCUUCAUUAGGAUUUUAUCUACUAUUUAGUUUGAAUUUUGAUAAUAAUUUAUUUAUUUUUAAUAUACUUAUUUUCUUUAACAAUAAAAUGAUUUUAGUUAGGAUAACAUUGGAUCCCAUUGUCAAAAUAAAGCUAAUCAUACGCCAGCUCACAUUGCAUAUAAAAAAGGAUCUUCUACCACCAAUGAGAAAGCGCCACACGUCCCUAGGACCACAUUUUCCACUCCUUUCACAACCGUCGUCCUCUUUCAAACCACACACGACUUCUGUGACGUCGCCGCUCAACCGACCACCACCGAAAGUUGGUGUUUUGGAAGCGGUUUGAAGAGUUGAGAGGAAGAAGUCCGAUCUAUUUCCACUUAUUCCUCCGUCCAAACACCAACUCCGUGAAACCCUUUUUCGCCUUCAACCGCGCAUCCUCCGCACCUCUUAUUCCAACUCUGUUUCGGAUGGCUGCGAGUUGGCAAGGCGUUUUAGAUUGGACGGCUGUUUGGUUUUAAUUCUUUUGUUUAUGCAGGUAAUGGUUUGGAACGAAAGGCUAAAAAGCACCGGAUUCACUUCACCAACUAUGGAGUAUCAAGUUCAACAAGCACUUCGAGACAUUGACGCCCUAUUUCCACCGCCUGCGAAAACAACACGCCAAAUCGCGUUUACAUUUCUGCAUUCGGUAAUCUUUUAAACUGAAAACAUUGAUUACAAUUGGUCCAUGUUCUGAUGCU
Molecule: long non-coding RNA, 11168 nt
Filed under: Lathyrus oleraceus (garden pea)
Lineage: Eukaryota; Viridiplantae; Streptophyta; Magnoliopsida; Fabales; Fabaceae
Description: Pisum sativum (pea) long non-coding RNA (PSAT_LNC037528)
Source: RNAcentral